UACGUAGGGGCAAGCGUUGUCCGGAAUUACUGGGCGUAAAGGGCUCGUAGGCGGCCAACUAAGUCAGACGUGAAAUCCCUCGGCUUAACCGGGGAACUGCGUCUGAUACUGGAUGGCUCGAGUUUGGGAGAGGGAUGCGGAAUUCCAGGUGUAGCGGUGAAAUGCGUAGAUAUCUGGAGGAACACCGGUGGCGAAGGCGGCAUCCUGGACCAACACUGACGCUGAUGAGCGAAAGCCAGGGGAGCAAACGGG
RNAcentral lists this ribosomal RNA (252 nucleotides) under uncultured bacterium. RNAcentral describes it as "partial 16S ribosomal RNA". It matches the Rfam family "Bacterial small subunit ribosomal RNA", at positions 524 to 776 of the family's 1533-position model. The record is from RNAcentral.